UCAAGGCCCAGGGAUUUUCCUCAGUGAGAGCAGGAGUGUAUUUUUAGGAGGGUGAACAGGGAUGGAUGGAUGGACAGAGGCAGCUGGAGAUGGAAGAGUGUGGAGCAGCAGCAGCAGCAGCAACAGACUAAUGGUUUUCCCCACACUGCUGCUCUGAACAUGACCUCAGAGGAGGAGGAGGCCUUGAGGAGCUCUCUGUUGACAGCACACAACCGUGUGCCCCCUACUGGUCAUAUGGUGUAUUACUUGUAUUUAGUAAUACAGAAGAUACAAAGGUUCUUUAAUGACUUUUGCAACAACUAUAAUAGAGAUUUGUGUGAUGUAAUUUCACACAAUGAGCAUUUUCUUCUCCGUUUUGAGAUGAGUUUGGAGUUGAGGCAACUGAUACUGUCUUUUCAGUAUGUUUUUUAUCUGUACAAAAGGUCAACGAUUAUUCCACAUUGAAUCUUAUUUCCAAAUCUAAAAAAACAAACAAA
Solea senegalensis (Senegalese sole) is the source of this 476-nucleotide long non-coding RNA. RefSeq lists it as uncharacterized. The record is from RefSeq and is a predicted model, not a curated record. NCBI's taxonomy places the organism in Eukaryota, Metazoa, Chordata, Actinopteri, Pleuronectiformes, Soleidae. The transcript has 2 exons.